CUCCCCUCCCCUUAGCGAGGAAGGAUUUGGGUCGCAGACCUGGGUGGUCCCAGGACUCCAGGGCCUGCAGUGGUGGGGUAGGGUGGGGUGGGGGCACUGCAGAGCUUCCCAAGGAAGUCAGGCGACCUCGCCUCCGGAUAUUCAGAAGUGCUAGUCCACUUCUGGCAGCCUGAACUCUUCCUCCUUUUUUUGAAAUCCGAGAAUACUCUUCCUUCCAGGGAGAGAAACUGACCUGUAAUCCCAGCUACUCAGGAGGCUGAAGCAGGAGAAUCGCUUGAACCUGGGAGUCAGAGGCUGCAGUGAAGCGAGAUCGCAACAUUGCAUUCCAGCCUGAAGUGCUGCUGUAGGUACUAUGGCUCCUGAAGUUGCUUUCCCUGCAGUAACUGGAGUCCUCCUCGUCGUCUUCCAGCUCCUCCGGCAAAGGCUCAGCAAAAGAAAUCCAAGAGGACAAACACACAGGAAAACUUGAAAAACCAAGACCAUCUGUUUCACACGGAAGAGCACAAUUACUUCGGAAGAGUGCUGAAAAGAUUGAGGAAACUGUUAGCGAUAGCUCCUCAGAAAGUGAGGAAGAUGAAGAACCACCUGACCAUCGUCAGGAAGCAAGUGCAGAUUUGCCAUCAGAAUAUUGGCAAAUUCAGAAGCUGGUGAAAUAUUUAAAGGAAGUUCUAGAAGAUAUUUUGGACCUUGAUUUAUCUGUCUCAGAAACAGACGAUUUUAUCCAGCUUGUAAGUGGCGAAAAGACAGUGUUUGGAUCCAUUCCACUGGCUCAUCCAUAUGGGGGCCAGCAGAAACAGGUGAACAAAAGCAGCCCUUCCAGCCUUCAAAUAUUGUCUUGAGAGAGCAUGAUGAUUGGAGCUGUUGCUAAUUAGUCACCAAAAGUGGAAUCCUGGCCAGGCACAGUGGCUCACGCCUGUAAUCCCAGCACUUUUGGAGGCCGAGGUGGGUGGAUCACAAGGUCAGGAGUUCGACUCUGGCCAACAUAGUGAAACCCUGUAAAAAUAUAAAAUAUUAGCCAAGGGUGGUGGUGGGCGCCUGUAAUCCUAGCUCCUCGGGAGACUGAAGCAGGAGAAUUGUGUGAACCCGGGAGACAGAGGUUGCAGUGAGCUGAGAUUGCACCAUUGCACUCCAGCCCAGGUGACAGUGAGAGACUCUGUCUCAAAAAAAAAAAAAAAAAAAAAAAAAUAGCAGAAUCCUAUGAUAUCCCUGGACCACCAAAACAAAUUUGGUUCCUAUGUUUUUAGCCAUUGUUUGUUCAUCUAGUAUUUACAGC
RNAcentral lists this long non-coding RNA (1273 nucleotides) under Homo sapiens (human). RNAcentral's name for it is "HSALNT0356938". Lineage: Eukaryota; Metazoa; Chordata; Mammalia; Primates; Hominidae. The record is from RNAcentral.